GAGUUUGAUCCUGGCUCAGGUUGAACGCUGGCGGCAGGCCUAACACAUGCAAGUCGAGCGAACCUAGCUUGCUAGGUGAGCGGCGAACGGGUGAGUAACACGUAGGAAUCUGCCCGAUAGUGGGGGACAACGUCUCGAAAGGGACGCUAAUACCGCAUACGCCCUACGGGGGAAAGCAGGGGAUCUUAGGACCUUGCGCUAUCGGAUGAGCCUGCGUCGGAUUAGCUAGUUGGUGGGGUAAAGGCCUACCAAGGCGACGAUCCGUAGCUGGUCUGAGAGGAUGAUCAGCCACACCGGAACUGAGACACGGUCCGGACUCCUACGGGAGGCAGCAGUGGGGAAUAUUGGACAAUGGGGGCAACCCUGAUCCAGCCAUGCCGCGUGAGUGAUGAAGGCCUUC
This 400-nucleotide ribosomal RNA is filed under the name uncultured Gammaproteobacteria bacterium. RNAcentral's name for it is "bacterial SSU rRNA". It matches the Rfam family "Bacterial small subunit ribosomal RNA", at positions 9 to 419 of the family's 1533-position model. Lineage: Bacteria; Pseudomonadati; Pseudomonadota; Gammaproteobacteria. The record is from RNAcentral.